UCCAUCUUCUUAUUCUUCGUUCUUUGUGGAAGCCCUCUUCCUUAUUCUUUGUCCAGACCCACACUCCAUUGUUCUGCAAUUGCUCACUGCGUUUUGUUUCAGUUCUCCAGGUUUUAAGGUUGGACACUCGAACAAGGAAUUUUGUAAGAACUGUAAACUUUUUUCGAAGAAGGACCAAUCCCCAAUUGGAAUCUCUGAUUGGGGGUUUGAAUUUGAUGCAAUUGUUAGUUUAUGAUUUUUCUUGUGUACUUUAUGUAGUUUUGGUAACCCUUGUUAGUGAUUAUACAAUGAGGUUAUCGAUGUUGGUGUUGAUUCGUUUUUUGUCUUCCAAUUUGUGGACACUCCAAUGUUGUUGGUAUAUUUGAGGUUCUUCUUACUCGUGCCUUACACAGCGUCAAGAGAAGAAUGUCAGAGGAUGAUGCAGAGAAUACAUCAACAAUAAAUCUGUUUUUGAAUUUUCUGAAAAUUUAAACACAAUCACAAAACAUUCAUUUUAUCACAAAAAAUAGACAAUCAACACAUUGAAUCCACAAUAAAUAGAAAAGUUAUGUACACAAGUUGAGAAGUCAUAGAGACUUUAUUUCACCAUUUCAGUGAUAUUCCAGAAAAAAAAAAUUGUAGAAAUCGUACGUACCAAGUCUCCUCAUUCUUGUUCUUCUUUUCUGCCACCUUCUCGUCGUAGGUAUAGACAUCUGAUUUCAUCUCCUCGGUUUCCUUUUCCACCGAUUCUAGUUUAGGUUUUGUCAACUUUUCGUAUAAAUCCAACCCAGCAAGGGUGGCAGAAGGCGCCGAAACUAAUCCUCAGGAAAUGGCAAUUGUUCCAUCCACUGAACCACAAAAUACUUGACUGGGCGUAGACAUGUUUGAAUUGUAGAGAAGGAUUGUGACUUCACAAUCAGGAAGACAAUUCAUUGUUGAGAUAGAUCAUCAGAUAUUAACCACCAUUGAAUGUUUUGGGUUUCGCCCUCAUGGUAGGGAUGCCAACAUGCCUAUACUGUUUGCAUACAACACCUUCAUGCACAGACAAAGAAGAAUGACUGGACUGAUCAAGAGGGUUGUUUUACGUCCUUUCAUUGUGGUUGCUGUAGAAUUUGUAAAAUGUAAUUUCUUGAAUGCAGACCGUAGUGAUCGAGGGUAGUCGGAAAGAUAAAGGCGAGGAGAAUGUUUGAAAUUUGAUAUAAAGUUGUUCAUGUCUCUUGUUAGAAUAGAUUUUAAACCUAAUAUUUUAUGUAUAAUAGGUAGAUACAAAUUUCAUCUUAUAAAUCGAUAUC
Molecule: long non-coding RNA, 1271 nt
Organism: Vigna unguiculata (cowpea)
Lineage: Eukaryota; Viridiplantae; Streptophyta; Magnoliopsida; Fabales; Fabaceae
Source: RefSeq, a predicted model, not a curated record